This 499-nucleotide ribosomal RNA is filed under the name uncultured bacterium. RNAcentral describes it as "partial 16S ribosomal RNA". The record is from RNAcentral.
GUAGUUAGCCGGGGCUUCCUCCUCAAGUACCGUCACUUCCUUCGUCCUUGAGGACAAAAGUUUACAAUCCGAAAACCUUCUUCCUUCACGCGGCGUUGCUGGGUCAGGCUUUCGCCCAUUGCCCAAUAUUCCCCACUGCUGCCUCCCGUAGGAGUCUGGACCGUCUCUCAGUUCCAGUGUGGCCGAUCACCCUCUCAGGUCGGCUACCCAUCGUUGCCUUGGUGGGCCUUUACCUCACCAACUAGCUAAUGGGACGCGAACUCACCCCAAACCGGAUCGCUCCUUUUACCUCAACCCCAUGCGAGGUCGUGGUCUUAUGCGGUAUUAGCACCUGUUUCCAAGUGUUAUCCCCCUGUCUGGGACAGAUUGUUCACGCGUUCCUCCACCCGUCCGCCGCUAACAGUAUACAACCGAACGACCAACUACUCGUCCGCUCGACUUGCAUGUGUUAGGCACGCCGCCACGCGUCGUCCUCGAGCCACUGAUACAACUACUACGA